This 1175-nucleotide ribosomal RNA is filed under the name Listeria monocytogenes. Its description in RNAcentral is "partial 23S ribosomal RNA". It matches the Rfam family "Bacterial large subunit ribosomal RNA", at positions 354 to 1529 of the family's 2925-position model. The record is from RNAcentral. Lineage: Bacteria; Bacillati; Bacillota; Bacilli; Caryophanales; Listeriaceae.
GCCAAAGACGGUAACAGCCCGGUAGUUGAAAUGGCUUUCCCUCCAGAGUGGAUCCUGAGUACGGCGGAACACGUGAAAUUCCGUCGGAAUCCGGGAGGACCAUCUCCCAAGGCUAAAUACUCCCUAGUGACCGAUAGUGAACCAGUACCGUGAGGGAAAGGUGAAAAGCACCCCGGAAGGGGAGUGAAACAGUUCCUGAAACCGUGUGCCUACAAGUAGUUAGAGCCCGUUAAUGGGUGAUAGCGUGCCUUUUGUAGAAUGAACCGGCGAGUUACGAUUUGUUGCAAGGUUAAGCGGAAAAAGCGGAGCCGUAGCGAAAGCGAGUCUGAAUAGGGCGCAUAAGUAACAGGUCGUAGACCCGAAACCAGGUGAUCUACCCAUGUCCAGGAUGAAGGUAAGGUAAUACUUACUGGAGGUCCGAACCCACGCACGUUGAAAAGUGCGGGGAUGAGGUGUGGGUAGCGGAGAAAUUCCAAUCGAACUUGGAGAUAGCUGGUUCUCUCCGAAAUAGCUUUAGGGCUAGCCUCGAGGUAAAGAGUCAUGGAGGUAGAGCACUGUUUGGACUAGGGGCCCUUCUCGGGUUACCGAAUUCAGAUAAACUCCGAAUGCCAUGUACUUAUACUCGGGAGUCAGACUGCGAGUGAUAAGAUCCGUAGUCGAAAGGGAAACAGCCCAGACCACCAGUUAAGGUCCCCAAAUAUAUGUUAAGUGGAAAAGGAUGUGGGGUUGCUUAGACAACCAGGAUGUUGGCUUAGAAGCAGCCACCAUUGAAAGAGUGCGUAAUAGCUCACUGGUCGAGUGACCCCGCGCCGAAAAUGUACCGGGGCUAAACAUAUUACCGAAACUGUGGAUGAACCUCUUUAGAGGUUCGUGGUAGGAGAGCGUUCUAAGGGCGGUGAAGUCAGACCGGAAGGACUGGUGGAGCGCUUAGAAGUGAGAAUGCCGGUAUGAGUAGCGAAAGAAGGGUGAGAAUCCCUUCCACCGAAUAUCUAAGGUUUCCUGAGGAAGGCUCGUCCGCUCAGGGUUAGUCGGGACCUAAGCCGAGGCCGAUAGGCGUAGGCGAUGGACAACAGGUAGAGAUUCCUGUACCAGUGCUAAUUGUUUAACCGAUGGGGUGACACAGAAGGAUAGGGAAUCGCACGAAUGGAAAUGUGCGUCCAAGCAGUGAGUGUGAG